UUAUCCAGAGAACAGGUACAGCAUGAACAGUCACACUGCAGAUUUCCCUAAAUUGCCUUUCCAAUGUUUCUCCAACCUGACUUGAACCCUUUGGGAUUCAAAGGUAA
RNAcentral lists this small RNA (107 nucleotides) under Chrysemys picta bellii (western painted turtle). Its description in RNAcentral is "TUC338 (ENSCPBG00000017535.1)". Lineage: Eukaryota; Metazoa; Chordata; Testudines; Emydidae. The record is from RNAcentral.